AACGAAGGCUGGCGGCAUGCCUAACACAUGCAAGUCGAACGAGACCUUCGGGUCUAGUGGCGCACGGGUGCGUAACGCGUGGGAACCUGCCCUUAGGUUCGGAAUAACUCCCCGAAAGGGGUGCUAAUACCGGAUAAUGUCUUCGGCCCAAAGAUUUAUCGCCUUUGGAUGGGCCCGCGUUGGAUUAGCUAGUUGGUAGGGUAAAAGCCUACCAAGGCGACGAUCCAUAGCUGGUCUGAGAGGAAGAUCAGCCACACUGGGACUGAGACACGGCCCAGACGCCUACGGGAGGCAGCAGUGGGGAAUAUUGGACCAUGGGCGAAAGGCUGAUCGAGCAAUGCCGCGUGAGUGAUGAAGGCCUGAGGGUUGUAAAGCUCUUUUACCCGGGAUGAUAAUGACAGUACCGGGAGAAUAAGCUCCGGCUAACUCCGUG
RNAcentral lists this ribosomal RNA (433 nucleotides) under uncultured bacterium. RNAcentral's name for it is "partial 16S ribosomal RNA". It matches the Rfam family "Bacterial small subunit ribosomal RNA", at positions 29 to 507 of the family's 1533-position model. The record is from RNAcentral.